GACGAACGCUGGCGGCGUGCCUAAUACAUGCAAGUAGAACGCAGUUGCGGACGGGUGAGUAAGGCGUAGGUAACUGCCUGGUAGCGGGGGAUAACUAUUGGGAACGAUAGCUACUACCGCAUACUACCAGAUGGACCUGCGUUGAGUUAGCUAGUUGGUGGGGUAACGGCUUACCAAGGCGACGAUACAUUGCCGACCUGGGAGGGGGAACCGGCAACAUGUGAAUGAUACACGGCCCCGGCUGCUACGGGAGGCAGCAAGAGGGAAUCAUCGGCAAAGGGCGGAAGUCUGACCGAGCAACGGCGCGGGAGUGAAGAAGGUUUUCGGAUCGUAAAGCUCUGUUGUAAGAGAAGCGGUAUCUUACCAGAAAGGGACGGCUAACUACGUGCCAGCCGCCGCGGUAAUUC
RNAcentral lists this ribosomal RNA (407 nucleotides) under uncultured bacterium. RNAcentral describes it as "partial 16S ribosomal RNA". It matches the Rfam family "Bacterial small subunit ribosomal RNA", at positions 28 to 526 of the family's 1533-position model. The record is from RNAcentral.